GGCGUUGUAGCUCAGUGGUAGAGCACUUGCCUUGUACGUGUGAGGCACUGUGUUCGAUUCCCAGCACCGCAU
This is a non-coding RNA of Ictidomys tridecemlineatus (thirteen-lined ground squirrel), 72 nucleotides long. Lineage: Eukaryota; Metazoa; Chordata; Mammalia; Rodentia; Sciuridae. The record is from Rfam.